UUGUUUUCAAAUUAGGAAUAAAACUUCAUCAAACUCAUGAACUUACUCAGUCCCUUCCAGCGUGGAAUUCGCAACAACGACCCUCAGUCAUCAUCCUCUAUAUAUUACUCCUCAGCUCUUAUAUUUAGACGCACACAGUUAUACAGCUCUAGAGAAUUAUCAUACCCUUCAAGAUGAAACCGUACCUACGUCCAAUAUUCCUAUUAUUCCUUAUCCUUCUCGACCAAUCCAUUUCGGCGAGUGCUGCUAUAAAUAUUAAUGGUCUGAGAAACAAAAUUAGAGAAGUUCUAAACAAGCACCCGAGCAUCAAUCUUCCGGCAGAUAAACUGAAGAAGGUGAAGAGACCACUGAAGGCACUGGAUUAUCUGCUUGGCGAAUGUAAGGACAGGCCGCCUCAAGAAUUUCAAGAAUUUUGCCCGAAAUUUAAGAACGAUUAUCAACAAAAUUGCCCGAAUGCCGCGUAUGAAGCAGUUUGCCCGUUACUGAAGCAAGCGAUUCAAAUAUGUUGCCAGAAACACGCAUAACUCUGCAAGCCACGGUGGGCGUUUGGAUGUGCUUUUAGUUACCACUUUCUCUCUUGGAUUUGCUUACGUAUUGCUCCUUUUGUAUUAGUGGCUCCUGUCCCACCUUGCUUUUGGACUUGAGCUUUUUAUAUUUCUGAUUGUUCAAUGUCUGUUGUGUGUGCUCUCCAACCUGUGGUGACUUUCCGGUUUAUUCCUGUGGCUGUUUCUUGUAGGCCUUUCGACCUCCAGUAUUAAAUAAAAGAUCAUCUUGUAGCUUUUUAAUUUUAAUUAUUUUUUAUUUAUAUCUCUUCUAAUAUUAAUAAUAAAUAAUAAAAUAUAUAAAUAAAUAAAUGAUUAUAUACAAUUAAUCUUUUAGGAUGAUUAUUAUUUUAAGAUAGAAAAAAAUAAUAUAUAUUUAUAUAUUGUUAUGAGAGGUCUUUAGUUAUAUGCAUAAUGCACCCUUGGCAACUUGGGAGUUGGGAUUUCAGUAAUUAUUAUUGUGGUGGGUAAAGCUAUAAACUCGGUUUUGUGUAAGUUCCUUUACUUUCUUGAGGAGUCUAAGGUGGGAAAGAGAAACACCUCUUCCAAUGUAAGAAAGUUUUUUAAAACUGGUAUAUUAGUUUAGUUUCAAUCUAAUGCCUCAAAUUUUUUUUUCUUUUCUCCUUGUAUUUUUUAUUCCUUUUCUUCUUAUCUUUCCUUGUUUGCCCCUUCAAUUCUCUUCUUUCUCUCCCAUCUUCUUUCUCUCUCCUUCUAUCCGCCACCAUAGUGCACCGUCACUUGUAGUUGCUUUGGUGGUACUCUACCACAGAAGAAGCAAGUGGAGCCUUGUUUCCAUUACUUUACGGAAAUUCACUUAAUCACAUUCAAUUGGUUCAUUGAGGAAUGAUUGCGGCGUUGUGUUUUUUCUUUCGUGUUUCUGUGUGAGUCAUUUGAGCGGUGCUGCGAAAGAAGAAAAAACUCCGGCGGGUGCCCACUGGUUGUCUGCGGUGGAGAGAAGGAGUGUUUUGUGCGGAAGAAAAGAAGUGGGGCAAACAAGGAAAGACAGGAAGAAAGGAAUAAAAGAAAAAGAGAAAAGAAAAAAUAAUUGAACCAUCAGAUCGACGAAAACUAAACCAAGUGUCAAGGGAAACGAAAAGCAUAAUAGCAUGAGUCAAGUUCAAAAAUUAUACAAAGUUUCACAAAGAAGAUCCAUAUAUGUUUCAAAUGCUAGAUUCCUUCGAAUAGAUGGCUAUGGGUGAUAAAUUAUAUAUGAAUUGCAAAAUACAAAAAAUUCGUUGCAACUUGCAAGGGAUGCAUCAGUAACAAUUGUCUAUUUGAUAUAAAUAUUUAAUUUUAUAUUAACGCAAGGUAAGCAUAUUUUUGUUUUAAUAACAUACUAUUUAUAUUUUAUUUAAAAUAUUUAAUCAGCAUGUUUACGGACAACCCGCAUAUAUAAGCCACUUAAUCUGAAAUCACUUUACUCUUACACAAAAAUAAUGAAUCAAAGAGAAAUAGAGAACUAAGGCUAAACCUAAUCAGAAAAAUCUGAUAGUUGCCAAACACAAACCCUUCCUUUUACACUUCUUCAUCUGUGUGUGUUGACUGCUACUUGCUGCUAAUUUAGGAUCUUGGCAGUUGUAUACGAUAUGCAUGCAUGAGGUCUUGCUGCCUUGUGUUUCUUGUACGACUAUUUCAGCGAUACCAACAUGCAUGGUGCAUGGUUGUUGCUAGUUUGUACGUACAAAAUUUAUACAUUAAUUAUGUUAUAAAAUUAAAUUUUAGAUUUUUAGUUAUACGAUAAGUAUUUACGAUUGCCAAUUGUGAGGCAAUCAUUACACACAUUAAAAUAGAGCCUUGUGCUUGUGGAUGGAGGCUUAUGAGGUAAAAAUAUGCCCACGUGGGAUAUCCUAAAUGUUUUACGGCAAAAUCAAGAUCUAGAUGGUGUUUGAUGAUCACAUAAAGGUGCAACUUCACAACAUAUCAUGCUUUACCGGCUUCAUUCAAUUUGGCAAUCAAUUUUGUGCCCAUCUACUCGUUUCAUCACGAAAGAAGACCCCUAUACCUUAUUUUAUUUAUUUGGGUUACCAAAAGGAAUAUUUCUUUGAAAAGACAUGCAACAACAUCACAACAGAGAAGGUUACAUAAAAUAAGAUGAAAUUAAAUAAAAUUUUAUAAUUUUAUUUAUAAAAUAGAUUCAUUUUGUAAAAUAAAUUUGUCCAUAGUUUAAAAAUUUGAAUUAUUUUAUACAUUUCCUUUAAAGUAUCUAUUUCAUUUUGUAAUUCAUGUCAUUAAAGUAUUUGUAUCAAAUUGAUUUGGUAACAUUUUCUUUAAUUAGUUACUCAGUUAAGAUAUUUAUAUUAUUAUUCAAAUUUAUUCAAUAAAUAUUAUAUAUAAUAAUAUAUGUAUAAAUCACAAUUAAAAUAACUUUCUAUCACAUGAAUUAAUUUAAAAAGUUCUCAUGCUUUAAAUUUCAAAUUCUAUUUUUAUAUUUUAAUUAUAUUUAUAUAAAAAAUAAAAUAAUGAGUAAAAUACGUAACAUCCCCUUAAAUUUUGUAAGAGUAUACAUCUUUUUGUAUUUUUUAACAUUUUCACUUUUUUUUAGCAACCUCCUUGAUCUAUAGGUUAACAUAGUGUAAUAUCCAAACAAUUAAAGAGAUUUAGUUUAUGAAUAUGGAGUGUUGGUAAUAUUUUUUUAGUGUAAUGUACUCGGAAAAUUAAUCUUCUACCAGUUGAAUAAAACUAUUUUUUUAUCAUGUAUCUUUUUAAAUUCUAUAUGUGUACAUAAAAUAAGGUUACACAAAUUUAAAUAAAUGACCAAAUUAAAAUACAUAACAAAAUUAAAAAUUUAAACACGUACAUAAAUUUAAUACAAAAUAACUUAAAAUACUACCUAAAAUACUCUACAAAUAAAAAAAUUAAAAAUUAAAUAACUACAUAAAUUUAAAUAAAUGACCAAAUUAAAAUACAUAACACAAAAUUAAAAAUUAAAUACCUACACAAAUUUAAAUAAAUGACCAAAUUAAAAUACAUAAAAAUUUAAAAAUUUGAACACGUACAUAAAUUUAACACAAAAAAACUUAAAAUACUACCUAAAAUACUCUACAAAUAACAAAAUUAAAAAUUAACAUACCAACAUAAAUUUAAAUAAAUGACCAAAUUAAAAUACGUAAUAACAAAAUUAUAAAAUAAAACACGUACAUAAAUUUAACACAACAAAACUUAAUUUACUAACUAAAAUACUCUACAAAUAACAAAAUUAAAUAUUAAAAUACCUACAUAAAUUUAAAUAAAUGACCAUAUUUUUUUCCAAUUAUUAAAAUUUAAAUUAAAUAACAUAUAUUAUACACAAAAAAUGGUAAUAAAUCAAAAAAUUACUAUGGAAUAAAAAAAUUAAGCAAUCUAUAUAUAUAAAAUUAAUAAAGUAUCAUAUAUUUCAAUAAAAACUAUAAAUAAGUAAACUAAAUAAUAUUCACAUUCUAACUAAACCUAAAAUACCAUAUAUAUAAUACAAAAAAUAUCAUACAAACCUAAUAAAUCUAAACCAAAUAAUAAUAACAUAACAACUAAAAUUAACGUACAAAUAAUUUUAUCACAAAUAAUAACAUAAAUUUAAAAAAUCUUAACAAAAUCAUAUUAAUAAAUCAACUACAACUAACGUACAAAUAAUAAUAUACCAACUCAAAUUUAUAACAUAUACAUAUAACACAAAUAAUAUUAAUAUUUCAACAUUACUUAAGAUUUAAAAGUUCCACCUAACAUCAACAAACGUAGCAUAUAUAUAUAUACAAAAUUUUUAAAAAAUAUUAUUAUCAAAUUAACUAAAACUAACCUAACAUAUAUAUAUAUAUAUAACACAACUAAUAACAUACAAUUUUGAAAAACCUAACUUAACUAAUAUUAACAUAUCAACUAAAAUUACCAAGUUAAAAAACACUUACUAACAGAGAAAUCACGUAAUAGGAAGAGGAGAGAAACCACGUAAUAGGAAGAACAAAGCACUGUCCUACAAACAUAAACAAACCUAACGUAAAUAAUUUUCAUAUAUAUAUAUAUAUAUAUAUAUAUAUAUAUAUAUAUAUAUAUAUAACAACAAAUAUUUACCAUUAAAAAAUACUUACCAAGAAGAAAAAGCAGAACAAAAUAAGAACACCACAAUGUACUGCAGGAACUUAUGAAGAAGAGGAAGAAAGCAAUGCAAGGAAGCAGCUGUGGAAUCCGUCAUGGAGCUUCUUCUUUUAUAAUGCAACAUUUUUCAAUUACCACAACUCGCCAGCCACGCUAACGAUUUCCGUCAAAUGCAAAUUGCCAUCCCUAUUGGUGGUUCCCUCCUGCACUGCUGACCACUGAACCCUGCACACCUGCAUGGCCUGACGGACUCCUGCAAAGCUGCAUGGCCUGACUCCUGCAAAGCUGGACCUCCUGAGCCUACCUAGUGGAACUCGCCAGUCAAAUUGGCGGUUCCCUAUGCAUGACAGUAUCACCAUUGCUACUUGCGAUUUGUUCACGGAGAGUAAACUCGCUAGUUCCACUGGCGAUUUGCGUGGUGCAUGCAUGCAAAACAUGUAAAUAACAGCCCCCUCCCGGAAAAACUUUAAAAAGGACCCCAUCUGGGAAAAUACUUUUUAAAAGUACCCAAAAUGAGAAAUUUGCCUAGUACUUGAUCCUUUUUCUCUUUGAAGAGGAUGAGCUCGAGAUUCACUUAUGAUCCUUGUGUUUAUUAUAAAAUUUAAUCCAUUAAUCAAGUUUGAAUCAAUAAGUUAUAUAUUAGUUCGAAUAAAAUUAGACUUGGUAUUCUAUAUUUAUUUUUUCAUGUGUAUUUUUUUAUUUAUUAAAAAGUUCUAGCAUAGUUCCAAAUAUAUUAAUUUUAUGACUUACUCAAAAUUGUUUUAAAUUUUAAAAAUAACUAUUUGUUUUUAAUAAAAAUGUAUAAAAAAUUAGGGGUGGCAUAAGAGAAAGGUCUAAGCAUAGUAAAAAAAAUAAUUAAAAAAUGCUUUUCUCACGAUGCAUAAGAAAAUGUCCCUUAUGCAUUUUCUUAUGAUCGAUUGAUUAGUUGGAGCAAACAAAAAUGAGAAAAAAUGCUCCACAAAAUAAUUCAAUCAUGUAUUUUUUUAAAAUUUCUUAAAAAUUUCUAGCAUAGUUCCAUAUAUAUAUUAAUUUUAAUUAUGACUAAAAUAGUUUAAAUAUAAAAAACUAUUUAUCUUUUAGAAAUAUCUUAAAAAUAAUUAAACAAAUAAUAAUUUAAGUGAAUAAAACAAAAAAAAGUUAUAAAAAAUAAUUUUAAAAGAUUUUUGUGGAUAAAUGAGAGGGGGUAUUUUGAAAUAAUUAAAAAAUAUUAAUUUUUUAAAAUACUGUAAUGGAUUAAUUGGAUAUUCAUCCAUAAAAAUGUUAAUUAAUGCAUUUAUUAAAUUGAUCAUGAACACAUUAAGUUUGUUUUAUGAAUUUUGAAUGGAUAUUCAUAAAUGAAAUUGUGGUAUUUUUGCUAAUGAUAAUAUUUUUUCUCAUCAUUAUAUGUAGUUCAUCUCUCUUCUAAGAAGGUAAAAAGUUAUGCUUUGUUUGACAUGUUGUGGUAUGGUCUACUUUGAUUAUGCAUAACAAAAUUGUGUUUCAAGGCGUUUUCUUUUGACUUUAAUGGUGUUUUGUACUUGAUAAAAAAGGUUGUUUUGUAGACAUGGUAUGAGACUAUGAGCAAUACUGUCCGUUCUUUUUUAAUUAGUGUAUUGAUCAUGUAAUUUAUCUUUAUUUGUUCCUUUGGUUUUGCAUUAAUUGUAAUACAUAUGUAUUAGGAUUGGAAUACCCGUUGUACUCUUUUUCUUAAAAUAAAUAAAUAAAUAAAACUUUGCUUUUAAAAUAAAUGUACGUUAGCCGCACUCUCUUUUUAAUAUUUUCUCUUAUACCAUUAGCUGAAAAAAUUAACAAUUUUGGUGGGAUUUUGUUUCUUUUAAUGAGGUAUCUCUAUCUAUCUAUAUCGAUUUUGAAAUGAAAUCCAUCCAAAUUGAUGACAUUUUAUAAAUUUCAAGCAAUGGUAAUAGAGUAUUAGAAAAAGAGUGUCAAUUUUUUUUGCUAAUAUUCCUUAAAAAAAUAAGAUCGUAUGAGUUUUUUAGGUAGAAGCACUUUGGACAUUUAUUACCAAUCCAACUUUGAUUUUUUUAUUUAUUUAUUAUUCACUACGGUGUGUUUGGAUCAACUGAAAAAAGUAGGUUAUUUUAAUAUUUGAUUAUAUUAAUAACAAUUAUUGGUAUAAUACAUUAUAAUCCGAAUAAGUUUUUGUUUGAGUUUGUUUCUUGUAAACUUAUAUAUUUUAAGAUAAUUAUUUUUUUAUGGAUGAAGAAAAUAAUUAUUUUUUAAUUAAAAAAAUACCUUUAAUUUUACAAAUUUGAGUUGUUUUUCAAAUUAUAUAAGAUUAACACACUAUAAAAAAACUAAAAUUUUCAAUAUACCGAAUCAUCAUUCAGAUAGUCUCUUCUCUCCAUGUGAAGAGUUAUAAAAAUUCUAUUAAGAAAUAAAAAAACUUCCGGUUGAAGAAGAAUAAUGAAGUCACCUAUAUCCAUGUAAAUCUUGUUUCCUAUCUCUACAAAUAUGAAGGAAUUUUUUAAUUAUUAUUCAAAAAAGUUUCUUCUAUUAUUUUCUCUUGUAUUAUUCACUAAAAAGACUAUAAUAAUAACGGAAUUACGGUUAGAGAGUAAAAAAAAAGAAUUCAAGGUUAACACCAUUGAGGAAAAAAAAAAUCCUUUCUAUUAGAACAUCUAAAAAGUUUUUUAUAUGAUUUUUAGUAAAAUAAAAAAAUAUUAAGCAUAAACAACACAUUGGGAAACAUUCUCGAAAGUUUUGAGUAAAUGAAUGUAACUAACAAGUAGAAAUAAUAAGAUUUCUCUUUUAUCCCAUUUCAUUAAUUCAUUAAGUAUGUAUAAAAAAGCGAUCAAUAUAGAAUCUCUUGCAUACUUAUACUCUUUCUUAUUUCUAUUUGAAAAUUUUUCUUAAUGUUAACAUUCUCGAACAGGUGUUAAGAAAAGUGCUUAAUUAGAUUAGACAUCAUUUACGGAUUCAGAUACAUUAUGUUAUUUAGACAAUUAUUAUAGAUUAAAAUAUUUCUAAAAAUUUUCAUGAUAAUUUGAUAUAAUGUAUUCAUAAUGAUUAUAUUAGUAUUUUAUAAGAAUUUUUCUAAAAUUACCAACCAUUUAUGUUCACAAUUGAAACACAAUUAAAGACCAAUAAAAUUUACUAGAACAAAUAACGUAUUUGUUAGAUUUUAAACUAGAUAUUGGGUUCAUAUAUUUCUAAGCACAAACAAACUAGAACAAAUCCAAGUUGAAUUGCAUCAAAUUUUCUAAAAGGCUAUUAGACAAUGAAUAUAAUCAUUAUUGGUCUUGGUGCUUAUAAUUAUACAAUAAAUAUGAACUUAGCAGACAAAAUGAAAAUUAUUUUUAACUUUAUUAAAAGAUGAGGAAACCAAAAAUUCACCUGGCAGAAGAAACUACUAAUGUACAGAAGCAGAACAAAUCUAAAUCUACAAAAAUGAAACGAAAGCUUGAGUAUAUUGCUGCAUAUACCAUCAAGAAUGAACAGUUAACAUGGCCUAGUGUCAUGAAUAAACACUUAAUCACCCAAAGAACCUAGAAGGAGAACAUAUGAGAUGGAAAUUAAGUCAUUUACCUUUCAACAACCAAGGUCAUGCCAUAAGUUGCUAUCUCAGGAAAUUUCCCGAAGCUAUCAUUAGUUCAUUACCAAACUAUUUAAUUUCAUUGACAUAUGUCUUGCUACCAGAUUUUAUGUAACAAAGAUUUUAAAAGCCUUAUAAAAAGCCAAGAUUGCAUGUGAAUCAAAUCGUAAAAAGGGUACAAUUCAAUAGUUUUGCAAAAAUAUAAUUGUAAUAGCUACAACAUCACAAUACUUCAAUUUCAAACAUGAAAUUAAACAUAUGACUUAAAACAACACUAAAAUUCUUUAUUAUAAUAUGUGGAGCCUCAAAAAAAGAAUUAAAAAGAAAUUACUUCUAUAUAUUGCUAGGAAACAGAAUCAUGAUUCCUCUAAAUCCAAGCUUUCAAACCAUUUUAUAUCCUAUUUAAGUCAAAUCGUUAAAACGUAUCUUUGUAUCCAUUUUAUGAAAGUGAAAUCAUCUUUAAAAUAUUAAUGCUUUAGGCUAAGACAAAUCAUCCCCAUUUUCAUUGCAUCGGUUGGAAAUCAUUGUAGCACCCGGCCAUAUCAAAUAAAUUAGUAUGUAAAGCACUAUUUCUUCCUACUUAGUCUAACCAAAAUUAAUUAAAAUGAAUAGGAGAUUUGUUUUAAUUAGAGUUAGAGUCCUACAUUACAAAUUGAGAUUAUUUGAUUCAUUAAUAAAUUUUAAGAGCCAAACAUUUCACAAAAUUAAUCUUAUGUGUUUAACCCAUGAUAACCGAUAAAUAUGGAUUAUUUUUUAUAAUAAAAAUAUAUUAAAAAUAUCUUUAAAAAUAUUUAUUUAAUAAUUAUUUUUAGCUUAAAUAUUAUGAAUUGAUAUUUUUUUCUAUUUAUAACUUACAUGUAUGAAAAAGAGGAAUUAAAAAAGAAAAAAAGAUUAAAAAAUAUAAAAAAUAUAAAUAAGAAAAAUGUUGACAUUAAACCCAAGUCUAAGGAAAACAAUCACGUUAACCAUUCUAAGAUUGAGAACUCUCUCAACCUAUUUUUUUUUGUAUUUUAAAUUAAUUCCUAUCUCUGUCUGUCAAUUAAAUUUAUAUUAAUUUAAGUAUAAAUAAAAUUAAUACUUAAAUUUUUUAAUAUUUUACUAUUUAAGAUAAUUUGAUGCAUUUAUGAAUGAGUUACCAACCCACUCAUACACUACAAUUAUUCCCUUGAAAUUCAGCUAUUAACAAUGAAGAAUUGGCCCUAUAUAGUAGCAGAAGUGGAUAUAUACCGAUAGGGGAGGAUAGCAAAAGCCAUUCAAAAACAAAGAAAAACAUAAUAUGUAGCUUUAUCCAUGUAUUAGGAUCAUAUUCGUGUAGCAUUAAAAGAACAAAGUUUUUUCAGUGACAAACUCCUAAAAGCAUCAUGUCAAAGCCGUAGAAUCAACGAGCAUCCCAUAAAUAAAAAUAAAUAAAAUCACCAUAUUCAUGCACAAUUACACGUAGAAAUUAAUAAAAUCUUGUCCCCCGACAUCCGUACAACAAGAUAACGAAGAAAAAUCUGGUUGAAGUCUACCAUAAACCCAAGGCCUUCAAUCCAAAACAUAUUGCAUUAAAUCAGGAGUUUCAACUUUCAAGCUAUUAAUCCAAUUAAGAUUUUAUAUCCUUUUUUUUAAUAUUCAACUUGAGCUAUCUGUCUCCAUUAUUAAAUCUUUAAAGUUCUGAAAAUGAAAAUUCAUCAUCCCUAUAGAACACAAAAUAAUACAGAUAGACAAGUGCAAGUUAUUACACAAAGUUGAUAUUCAAACUAUACAAUAAAAAGAGGAUCGAAUGACAAUAAUGAGAGUGAUUAAAAAAAUAUACAAAUUCAAGGUCAUGACAACUCUGAUUCUGUGAAAAGGGAAGUCCAAAUGAAUGAAGAAUAAAAGACACUCAUUACCUAGUGUUUAGUUAACUUUCUGCUAGAAAUACUCUUACUUCGAGCCACAUCAGGUGCCAACUAAUUCUAUUUCUGCUCUGAGAAACUACCAUAAAAAUUUGUUUGGGAAUCCACAACCCUACCACCUUUUUCUGCAAACCCCUAAUUGAAAAGAGAGUAUAAUAAACACAAAAAGCUUGUGGGGAAAAUUAAAAGAGAGGGAGAGGGAGAGGGAGAGAGCACGAGAGAAAAAUUAAAAUUAAAAUAAUAUUUUUAGGAUAGUUGUAAAUAUUGUAUCAUGUACCAUAGAAAUGAUUAUAAAUGUAUCUAGAUUCAUGUACUUGUCCCUAUAAAAGACUAAUAUUUUUAACAGAAAAUAAAAAAAAAAGAGUUAAAAUGAAACCAUAAAAAUUUAAAAUAAAACUUUUAAAAUUUGAUAUACUAAAUCAGAAAAGAAAAAUACUAAAAUAUAAACGAUGAAAAUAUUUUUUUUUAAAACUUAAUAUUCCUAAAAAUAAAAUAAAAAAAUACAAAGAACCAAAAGUAAUAUAUAUCUGGAGGCCUAAAUGCCAAAAACAAUCACACAACUAAAACGAAAAGGCAUCAUCUGGAUGGGGCAACGCAUUCAACAACUAAUGAUACUCCAAAUUAAAUGAGUAAAUUUAUAAAUGUACAAUCCAUUUUUGUGUGGAUUGGACAAGGCAAUUAAGAGAGAUGUGAUAUCAUAGCAAAUAUAGAUAUUAAAAAAUAUAAGAUGAAAGAGAAUGAGUUUUAAGUAGGAUGUAUGUUUAUAAUGAUAACUCCUAAUACUAUUCUUCCUAAGCUCAUAAAUCCAUAACAUCCAAGUUUGUGUGAAACAUAAGACUUAGACUUGGUGUAUAUUUGAAUUAAAGUUGACGAUUUUAAUAUUAUAGUAGUUUUAUUGUAUAAGUUCAAGAAGGACUUUGGUCUUGCUUUUUUGUAAAUUUGAUUUCGAAUAUAAGUGUGUAAACAUACUCUUAAAGAUAACUAAACAUACUCUUAAAGAUAACUAAAUAUAUCAUAUGAAAUAAAAAUGAGUUUAUGCUCCAAACCAAGUUUAAAACACCAAAAUAAAAUCCAAACAUGUUGAUAUCGAUGUUAUUAAUAGUCUAAUGCAAAAGAAGCAAAUCGUAGACAGAAAAUGAUAACUAAAAGCAUUCACCAAAGCCCACCAUGGCAAAAGUUGUGAUUAGUAUAUAAUGUUGGAGCAUGUUGUGCUUAUUAGAAAUCGAAAGCUCCACCUUUGGUUUCUUUGAUGACAAUAUAUAAGAGUGCCGUUGAGGUAGGUGACGUUGUAGUAGAAAUUCAUGUCGGGGACAACACAUCGUGGUAGCACCUACUGAUGGGGUGACAACACAUCUUUAGCAGGACAAUUAAAGAAUAGUCGAUGAAGAACAAUUGAAUAAAAAGCAAAAAAGAAUCACCAAUUCGAAACAAAUAGUAUAGCACUGCACUACUAACUCACCCCAUCAACCGCAAGUGGCAAAUGACUCCAAACCCAAAACAAUGAAGAAAAUAACCAUUAGUUAAAAUUCGUGAAAUGGGAAUAUCUGAGUAUAAAAUUACAACUAAUCUGAAGGAAUCUGCUAAACAACCUAAUCUUCUAUCAUUUUCAUUUGAUAUUUAAAUUAUUGACUGCUGAAACAAAACUCAUAAAAGAUAAAAUCUGCAACAAUAAUAAUAGAACUCUAUCUAAAACUUAUUCAAAAUUCAAAUAAGGCAGGUCUCAUAUCUUAGCUAGACANNNNNNNNNNNNNNNNNNNNNNNNNNNNNNNNNNNNNNNNNNNNNNNNNNNNNNNNNNNNNNNNNNNNNNNNNNNNNNNNNNNNNNNNNNNNNNNNNNNNCUGGUUCUAAUGUCACGACAGGGGACAUACGCCUCAAAGGUGCCAUAUGGUCGCUGCCGAGUGAAAACGAGAGCCUGUCGUGGGAGGACGGAGUUUUGGACUUGGAGAGUGCGGCGAUGCAUCAGAUAGGGCAUCUUCUAGGGCUUGACCACUCUAACAAAGAGGACUCUGUUAUGUACCCUAACGUAUUGCCAUGGCAGCAACGAAAGGUGGAGCUCUCGGUUUCUGAUAUGGAAAACAUUCAGCGUCACUACACUAACGGCAUCUCUGGCCACAGUGGGCGUUGGGGAGUGCUUUUAAUGAAUAUCUUGUCUCUUGGAUUUGCUUACGAGCUUCUUUAAUUUUGUAUUGGUAUUUGGGUUUAUGAGCUUUUGGGAACAAUUUCAUGACUGUUGACUUGAGUAUAAUGCAUGUGUUCCCCAAACCAGGCAUGACAAUCAAACCCAUAUCCGUGAUAUUGUUCAAAGAAAAUACACGUACCUUAAAAGAAAAUACUCUGGGAGCCAGAACAAAUUAAAUCUUACUAUAUAUUAACUACCUUUUUUAUAUUUUUAAUUUUGGAUAAAAAUAUUUUUACUCCAUCUGAAAUAUGGGAAAUUUAAAAUUAGUCUCUUUAAAUUUUUUUGUCUCAAUGUCUCUAAAAUUUUAACAUGUUAUUUCAUUUAGCAUGUUAAUUAGUUUGUUACUAAACAAUGUAUCUAACACCUUAUGAUCACCAAUUUUUCAUUUUCUGUCAGUUCACCCUGUGACAUUUUUUCACUUUCUUUGGCCAUUCUUAGGGAUUCUUGGAGCAUCAUUCACCUCUUGAUCAUGGCGCACUUGAUGCCUUGGAUUUUUUGGAGGUUUAAAAUGCAUGGGCUGGGAUUUUUGAAGAUCAAGGUUAUUGUCACCUAAACACGUGGUUUUCUUUUCUAUUUCUACCAUCUUAAAAUACUUUUAUGCUUGUAUUUAUUGAUCUUAGUUUGGGGUUUGAAUUUCUUUUUAUCAUGACCAUCUAAGCUUAUAUUAUGAGGGAUGUUGUGACUUGAAUAUUAUGAAUUUUUCUAAUGUGUUGUGUAUAUUUGUCUUAUUGUACUUAAUUUUGAGUUUGGGAAUUGACUUUAAAGUGUUAAUUAAUAGACUAAUUAGUAACCAUCCAUAGAGACGUUCCCUAAUGUUCCAUUCAAUUAAUUAUACUUUUAGUAGUUUUUAACCUGUGAAGUUCAAAUAAUUAAGACGAAAAAAAUAGCAAAAGAAAUAUAUUAAAUGGCCACAACAUAGGGGACGUACGGUGCUUUAACUUUGAUAUUAUUAGCAUAAUCUUUUAACAAAUUGAGUUAAUGAGUCAAUUACGUUAUAAAAUAAAUAAUGUUACUAUACGUAAUAUUAAAAUUUCUAAUGUAUAUUUAAUACGGAUGUAAAUUUAAAUAAUAAAUUUUGUGACAAUUAAUUUUGAUAUAAGUCAUACAAAUUAUUUAAUUCGUAUAAUUUAUAUCAAAAUUAAUUGUAAUAAAAUUUAUUAUUUAAAUUUAUAUGCGUAUUAAAUAUACAUUAGAAAUUUUAGUGUUAUGUAUAGUAACAUUAUUUAUUUUAUAACAUAAUUGAUUCAUUAACUCAGUUGAUUAAAGCGUUAUGUUAAUAACCUGAAAAUUUACAGAAGAAUUUUUUUUUUGUAAGAGUUACGAGUGAAGGACAAGGCAAAAUUAGAAAAAUAAAAAAAUACUGGGUACAUCAGAAAUACUAUUGAUACACCUAGCAACACUCUUUUAGAAGGUAGCUUAAUAUAGAACUUAGCUAAGAAGUAAAUAAAUGUUUGUUAAAAAUUAUUUUUCUUUCACGAUCGAACUCAAAUAAUUUAAUUUUAUUUUCAACACAUUAAUCAUUUUAUUUUAUGUUGAAUCAUUUGAUUUCAAGUCAUAUGUUCUUAUCAAUCCUUAUCAAUGAAGUUUUCUCAUAUGUUAAAAAAAAGCCCCGAAAAUAAAGAAGGGCAAAAAAAGAAAGGGCCUCAAUAAAUGGAGAUAGAAAAAAAUAGUGAGUUCAUACAAGCAAGCCUUCGGUGAAUGCCACUUUAUCAAUCCAGAAAAGUACGAUUGCUCGAAAGGAUAAAUAUAUUUAGAUGCCGAAAAUACUAUUAUACACCUAUUAAAAAAGAGUGAAUUUUAUAAGUAUAUUAAAUAUAUGAUGUGAUGUGAGAAGAAGAAAAAAAAGAAAUGUUAAAAAACUAUUUAAAAUAAUGGAGUAUUCAAAAAUAACAUAUUUAGUACUUGGGCAAAUUUCCCCAUUUGGGGUACUUUUAAAAAGUAUUUUCCCAGAUGGGAUUGUUUUAAAAGAUUUUUCGGCAGGGGACUGUUUUGCACGUAAAAUGCAUGCAUGUUCCAAGCAAACUGCCAGUGAGACUGGCGAGUUUGCUCUCCAUGAACAAAUAACAGGUAAUAAUGGCGAUACUGCCAUGCAUAGGAAACCGCCAGUUUGACUGGCGAGUUCCACUAGGUAGGGCUUCAGCUUUGCAACAGGGAGCUCAGGAGCUCAGGCUUUUGCAGGAUGCAGGCGUGACAGGGAAAUCGUCACUCCUAUAGGCGAGUUAGUCUAAAGUGGAGUUGCCAAUGGUAUUGGCGAGUUAGGUGGGAGGUGCCACCUGCAUUGGCGAUUUAGCGUGUAAAUAUAGGUCCUUUUACGUUGCAGUUUCAGUGUGUGUUGCACUUUUUUAAAAGCUCUCAACUCAAAAUUUCCUUCUUCUCACGUAGUUUCAGUGUGUGUUACACUUUUUUAAAAGCUCUCAGCUCAAAAUUUCCUUCUUCUCACGUUUACAUUUGUUUUGUCAUAAGCUUUCCAAAUUUGGUGGUUCAGGUUUAAUUUGUAGCAUCAAUAUUUUCAGUCAAGUAAUUUUUUUUUAAUGUGAAGUUUUGAAUAAUUUUUUUAAUUAAAUUAGCUUUAUAUUUCUUAUGGUUGUUGGUGUGUGUUUAAAAUAAAAGAAAUUUGUACCAUCAUCUUUAUUUGAAGAAAAUAUUGAGUCCAAAAAUUGUAUUUUGAAUUUCAAGUUUUUAUUAUAUUUUUAAUUAGAUUAGGUUAGUUUUGAUGUUUUGUUAUUGUGUUAAAAAUUGAUCAAGUGUAUACUUUUAAAAGAUUUUAAAACUGAAAAAUUUUGUACCAUCAUAUUUAUUUGAAGUAUUUUGAGUGUGGAAUUUUUUUUAAUAUGAGGUUGUAGUAAUAUUUUUUUUAAAUUACUUUAGGUUGAUGUUAAUGAUUUGUUGGUAUGUGGUAAAAAUUAAUGAGCGUUGAACUUGAAUGGUAUUUUAAAUUUUAAUAUGAAGUGUGUAGUAUAUAAUUAAUAUGUGUACUUUUAAAGUGUUGUUUAGUUCAGCGUUUUUAAAUUUAUACUUUUAAGUCUAUGACAUCAUUUUUAUUUUAAUGUAUUUAUAGUAAUUUUGUAAUUACGUUUAUUUAUUUAGAAUUUAUUAUUGUUAACAUUAAUUAUUUAUAAUACUAACUUUGGUUAUGGUUUAUUUUGCCUUUAAAAUUAGUUCGUUGGAAUCGUUUAUAUUUUUUAAGUGUGUACCAUUAUAUUUAUUUAAAGUUAAUAUUUUUUGUAUAUAAUAAAAUUAUAAUGUGAAGUUCCAGCAAUGGGAUUUUUUGUGAUUUCAUUUUGUUAUUUUGAAUUUAUUAUGAUUAAUUAUUUAAAAUAUUGUUUUUGUAGGUACAUCAUGAAUUCAGUUAUAAUAGUAUUAUAUUUCAAUGAAAGGGUAUAUGAAGAUAAUGAUGGUGUAAGAUUUGAAGACAAUAAAAAAGCGAUUCAGAUUAAACGUGGAAUUAGUUUCAAUGUUUUGAAGAAAAAAAUUGGAGAUAAUGUAAAGUUAGAAAAUAAUGAAAUUAUUUGUGCUAUCAGUUGUAGAUUUUUAGUGUCUGAAAAAUAUGUUGCGUUACAAAUUUGUGAUGACGAAGAUGUUGAAACCAUGCUCAAAAGUUUUAAACAACAAGAUCAAAUGUCAGCUUUGAAAUUGACAACAAAAAUUUUACAUUAAAAAAAUUAACUACACUUACAAAAAAUCAAUUGAAUAUACAUACCACAUAAUUAAAAUCUGAAUAAAUAACAAAAUACAUCAAUUUGAACAAAUAACAAAAUUAAAAAUAACAAUACGUACACAAAUUUCAAUAAAUGCUCUAAAAUACUCUACAAAUAACAAAAUUACAAAUUAAACACGUACAUAAAUUUAACACAACAAAACUUAAAAUAUUACCUAAAAUACUCUACAAAUAACAAAAUUAAAAAUUACAUGCCUACACAAAUUUAAAUAAAUGACCAAAUUAAAAUACAUAACAAAAUUAAAAAUUUAAACACGUACAUAAAUUUAAUACAAAAUAACUUAAAAUACUACCUAAAAUACUCUACAAAUAACAAAAUUAAAAAUUAAAUAACUACAUAAAUUUAAAUAAAUGACCAAAUUAAAAUACAUAACACAAAAUUAAAAAUUAAAUACCUACACAAAUUUAAAUAAAUGACCAAAUUAAAAUACAUAACAAAUUUAAAAAUUUAAACACGUACAUAAAUUUAACACAAAAAAACUUAAAAUACUACCUAAAAUACUCUACAAAUAACAAAAUUAAAAAUUAACAUACCAACAUAAAUUUAAAUAAAUGACCAAAUUAAAAUACGUACAUAACAAAAUUAUAAAAUAAAACACGUACAUAAAUUUAACACAACAAAACUUAAUUUACUAACUAAAAUACUCUACAAAUAACAAAAUUAAAUAUUAAAAUACCUACAUAAAUUUAAAUAAAUGACCAUAUUUUUUUUCCAAUUAUUAAAAUUUAAAUUAAAUAACAUAUAUUAUACACAAAAAAUGGUAAUAAAUCAAAAAAUUACUAUGGGAUAAAAAAAUUAAGCGAUCUAUAUAUAUAAAAUUAAUAAAGUAUCAUAUAUUUCAAUAAAAACUAUAAAUAAGUAAACUAAAUACUAUUCACAUUCUAACUAAACCUAAAAUACCAUAUAUAUAAUACAAAAAAUAUCAUACAAACCUAAUAAAUCUAAACCAAAUAAUAAUAACAUAACAACUAAAAUUAACGUACAAAUAAUUUUAUCACAAAUAAUAACAUAAAUUUAAAAAAACCUAACUUAACUAAUAUUAACAUAUCAACUAAAAUUACCAAGUUAAAAAACACUUACUAACAGAGAAAUCACAUAAUAGGAAGAGGAGAGAAACCACGUAAUAGGAAGAACAAAGCACUGUCCUACAAACAUAAACAAACCUAACGUAAAUAAUUUUCAUAUAUCAACUACAAUUAAGUUAAUAUAUAUAUAUAUAUAUAUAUAUAUAUAUAUAUAUAUAUAUAUAUAUAUAUAUAACACAACAAAUAUUUACCAUUAAAAAAUACUUACCAAGAAGAAAAAGCAGAACAAAAUAAGAACACCACAAUGUACUGCAGGAACUUAUGAAGAAGAGGAAGAAAGCAAUGCAAGGAAGCAGCUGCGGAAUCCGUCAUGGAGCUUCUUCUUUUAUAAUGCAACAUUUUUCAAUUACCACAACUCGCCAGCCACGCUAACGAUUUCCGUCAAAUGCAAAUUGCCAUCCCUAUUGGUGGUUCCCUCCUGCACUGCUGACCACUGAACCCUGCACACCUGCAUGGCCUGACGGACUCCUGCAAAGCUGCAUGGCCUGACUCCUGCAAAGCUGGACCUCCUGAGCCUACCUAGUGGAACUCGCCAGUCAAAUUGGCGGGUCCCUAUGCAUGACAGUAUCACCAUUACCACAACUCGCCAGCCACUCUAACGAUUUCCGUCAAAUGCAAAUUGUCAUCCCUAUUGGUGGUUCCCUCCUGCACUGCUGACCACUGAACCCUGCACACCUGCAUGGCCUGACGGACUCCUGCAAAGCUGCAUGGCCUGACUCCUGCAAAGCUGGACCUCCUGAGCCUACCUAGUGGAACUCGCCAGUCAAAUUGGCGGGUCCCUAUGCAUGACAGUAUCACCAUUGCUACUUGCGAUUUGUUCACGGAGAGCAAACUCGCUAGUUCCACUGGCGAUUUGCGUGGUGCAUGCAUGCAAAACAUGUAAAUAACAGCCCCCUCUCGGAAAAACUUUAAAAAGGACCCCAUCUGGGACAAUACUUUUUAAAAGUACCCAAAAUGAGAAAUUUGCCUAGUACUUGAUCCUUUUUUCUCUUUGAAGAGGAUGAGCUCGAGAUUCACUUAUGAUCCUUGUGUUUAUUAUAAAAUUUAGUCCAUUAAUCAAGUUUGAAUCAAUAAGUUAUAUAUUAGUUCGAAUAAGAUUAGACUCAGUAUUCUAUAUUUAUUUUUUCAUGUGUAUUUUUUUAUAUAUUAAAAAGUUGUAGCAUAGUUCCAAAUAUAUUAAUUUUAUGACUUACUCAAAAUUGUUUUAAAUUUUAAAAAUAACUAUUUUUUUUAAUAAAAAAUUAGGGGUGGCAUAAGAGAAAGGUCUAAGCAUAGUAAAAAAAAAAUUAAAAAAUGCUUUUCUCACGAUGCAUAAGAAAAUGUCCCUUAUGCAUUUUCUUAUGAUCGAUUGAUUAGUUGGAGCAAACAAAAAUGAGAAAAAAUGCUCCACAAAAUAAUUCAAUCAUGUAUUUUUUUAAAAUUUCUUAAAAAUUUCUAGCAUAGUUCCAUAUAUAUUAAUUUUAAUUAUGACUAAAAUAGUUUAAAUAUAAAAAACUAUUUAUCUUUUAGAAAUAUCUUUAAAAUAAUUAAACAAAUAAUAAUUUAAGUGAAUAAAACAAAAAAAAGUUAUAAAAAAUAAUUUUAAAAGAUUUUUGUGGAUAAAUGAGAGGGGGUAUUUUGAAAUAAUUAAAAAAUAUUAAUUUUUUAAAAUACUGUAAUGGAUUAAUUGGAUAUUCAUCCAUAAAAAUGUUAAUUAAUGCAUUUAUUAAAUUGAUCAUGAACACAUUAAGUUUGUUUUAUGAAUUUUGAAUGGAUAUUCAUAAAUGAAAUUGUGGUAUUUUUGCUAAUGAUAAUAUUUUUUCUCAUCAUUAUAUGUAGUUCAUCUCUCUUCUAAGAAGGUAAAAAGUUAUGCUUUGUUUGACAUGUUGUGGUAUGGUCUACUUUGAUUAUGCAUAACAAAAUUGUGUUUCAAGGCGUUUUCUUUUGACUUUAAUGGUGUUUUGUACUUGAUAAAAAAGGUUGUUUUGUAGACAUGGUAUGAGACUAUGAGCAAUACUGUCCGUUCUUUUUUAAUUAGUGUAUUGAUCAUGUAAUUUAUCUUUAUUUGUUCCUUUGGUUUUGCAUUAAUUGUAAUACAUAUGUAUUAGGAUUGGAAUACCCAUUGUACUCUUUUUCUUAAAAUAAAUAAAUAAAUAAAACUUUGCUUUUAAAAUAAAUGUACGUUAGCCGCACUCUCUUUUUAAUAUUUUCUCUUAUACCAUUAGCUGAAAAAAUUAACAAUUUUGGUGGGAUUUUGUUUCUUUUAAUGAGGUAUCUCUAUCUAUCUAUAUCGAUUUCGAAAUGAAAUCCAUCCAAAUUGAUGACAUUUUAUAAAUUUCAAGCAAUGGUAAUAGAGUAUUAGAAAAAGAGUGUCAAUUUUUUUUGCUAAUAUUCCUUAAAAAAAUAAGAUCGUAUGAGUUUUUUAGGUAGAAGCACUUUGGACAUUUAUUACCAAUCCAACUUUAAUUGUUUUUUUAUUUAUUAUUCACUACGGUGUGUUUGGAUCAACUGAAAAAAUUAGGUUAUUUUAAUAUUUGAUUAUAUUAAUAACAAUUAUUGGUAUAAUACAUUAUAAUCCGAAUAAGUUUUUGUUUGAGUUUGUUUCUUGUAAACUUAUAUAUUUUAAGAUAAUUAUUUUUGUAUGGAUGAAAAAAAUAAUUAUUUUUUAAUUAAAAAAAUACCUUUAAUUUUACAAAUUUGAGUUGUUUUUCAAAUUAUAUAAGAUUAACACACUAUAAAAAAACUAAAAUUUUCAAUAUACCGAAUCGUCAUUCAGAUAGUCUCUUCUCUCCAUGUGAAGAGUUAUAAAAAUUCUAUUAAGAAAUAAAAAAAACUUCCGGUUGAAGAAGAAUAAUGAAGUCACCUAUAUCCAUGUAAAUCUUGUUUCCUAUCAAAUCGUAAUAGCUACAACAUCACAAUAGUUUUGCAAGAUUGCAUGUGAAUCAAAUCGUAAAAAGGGUACAAUUCAAUAGUUUUGCAAAAAUAUAAUUGUAAUAGCUACAACAUCACAAUACUUCAAUUUCAAACAUGAAAUUAAACAUAUGACUUAAAACAACACUAAAAUUCUUUAUUAUAAUAUGUGGAGCCUCAAAAAAAGAAUUAAAAAGAAAUUACUUCUAUAUAUUGCUAGGAAACAGAAUCAUGAUUCCUCUAAAUCCAAGCUUUCAAACCAUUUUAUAUCCUAUUUAAGUCAAAUCGUUAAAACGUAUCUUUGUAUCCAUUUUAUGAAAGUGAAAAUCAUCUUUAAAAUAUUAAUGCUUUAGGCUAAGACAAAUCAUCCCCAUUUUCAUUGCAUCGGUUGGAAAUCAUUGUAGCACCCGGCCAUAUCAAAUAAAUUAGUAUGUAAAGCACUAUUUCUUCCUACUUAGUCUAACCAAAAUUAAUUAAAAUUAAUAGGAGAUUUGUUUUAAUUAGAGUUAGAGUCCUACAUUACAAAUUGAGAUUAUUUGAUUCAUUAAUAAAUUUUAAGAGCCAAACAUUUCACAAAAUUAAUCUUAUGUGUUUAACCCAUGAUAACCGAUAAAUAUGGAUUAUUUUUUAUAAUAAAAAUAUAUUAAAAAUAUCUUUAAAAAUAUUUAUUUAAUAAUUAUUUUUAGCUUAAAUAUUAUGAAUUGAUAUUUUUUUCUAUUUAUAACUUACAUGUAUGAAAAAGAGGAAUUAAAAAAGAAAAAAAGAUUAAAAAAUAUAAAAAAUAUAAAUAAGAAAAAUGUUGACAUUAAACCCAAGUCUAAGGAAAACAAUCACGUUAACAUUAUUAAGAUUGAGAACUCUCUCAACCUAUUUUUUUUUUGUUAUUUUAAAUUUAAUUUCUUAUCUCUUGCCUGUCAAUUAAAUUUAUAUUAAUUUAAGUAUAAACAAAAUUAAUACUUAAAUUUUUUAAUAUUUUACUAUUUAAGAUAAUUUGAUGCAUUUAUGAAUGAGUUACCAACCCACUCAUACACUACAAUUAUUCCCUUGAAAUUCAGCUAUUAACAAUGAAGAAUUGGCCAUAUAUAGUAGCAGAAGUGGAUAUAUACCGAUAGGGGAGGAUAACAAAAGCCAUUCAAAAACAAAGAAAAACAUAAUAUGUAGCUUUAUCCAUGUAUUAGGAUCAUAUUCGUGUAGCAUUAAAAGAACAAAGUUUUUCAGUGACAAACUCCUAAAAGCAUCAUGUCAAAGCCGUAGAAUCAACGAGCAUCCCAUAAAUAAAAAUAAAUAAAAUCACCAUAUUCAUGCACAAUUACACGUAGAAAUUAAUAAAAUCUUGUCCCCCGACAUCCGUACAACAAGAUAACGAAGAAAAACCCCGGUUGAAGUCUAUCAUAAACCCAAGGCCUUCAAUCCAAAACAUAUUGCAUUAAAUCAGGAGUUUCAACUUUCAAGCUAUUAAUCCAAUUAAGAUUUUAUAUCCUUUUUUUUAAUAUUCAACUUGAGCUAUCUAUCUCCAUUAUUAAAUCUAUAAAGUUCUGAAAAUGAAAAUUCAUCAUCCCUAUAGAACACAAAAUAAUACAGAUAGACAAGUGCAAAUUAUUACACAAAACUGAUAUUCAAACUAUACAAUAAAAAGAGGAUCGAAUGACAAUAAUGAGAGUGAUUAAAAAAAUAUACAAAUUCAAGGUCAUGAUGACAACUCUGAUUCUGUGAAUAGGGAGGUCCAUAUGAAUGAAGAAUAAAAGCCAGUCAUUACCUAGUGCUUAGUUAACUUUCUACUAGAAAUACUCUUCCUUCGGGUCACAUCAGGUGCCAACUAAUUCUACUUCUGCUCUGAGAAACUACCAUAAAAAUUUGUUUGGGAAUCCACAACCCUAACACCUUUUUCUACAAACCCCUAAUUGAAAAGAGAGUAUAAUAAACACAAAAAGCUUGUGGGGAAAAUUAAAAGAGAGGGAGAGGGAGAGAGCGCGAGAGAAAAAAUAAAAUUAAAAUAAUAUUUUUAAGAUAGUUUUAAAUAUUGUAUCAUGUACCAUAGAAAUGAUUAUAAAUGGAUCUAGAUUUAUGUCCUUGUCCCUGUAAAAGACUAAUAUUUUUAACAAAAUAAAUAAAAAAGUUAAAAUGAAACUAUAAAAAUUUAAAAUAAAACUUUUAAAAUUUAAUAUACUAAAUCAGAAAAGAAAAAUACUAAAAUAUAAACGAUGAAAAUAAUUUUUUUAAAACUUAAUAUUCCCUAAAAAUAAAAUAAAAAAUCCAAAGAACCAAAAGUACUAUAUAUCUGGAGGCCUAAAUGCCACAAACAAUCACACAACUAAAACGAAAAGGCAUCGUAUGGAUGGGGCAACGCAUUCAACAACUAAUGAUGCUCCAAAUUAAAUGAGUAAAUUUAUAAAUGUACAAUCCAUUUUUGUGUGGAUUGGACAAGGCAAUUAAGAGAGAUGUGAUAUCAUAGCAAAUAUAGAUAUUAAAAAAUAUAAGAUGAAAGAGUAUGAGUUCUAAGUAGGAUGUAUGUUUAUAAUGAUAACUCAUAAUACUAUUCUUCCUAAGCUCAUAAAUCCAUAACAUCCGAGUUUGAGUGAAACAUAAGACUUAGACUUGGUGUAUAUUUGAAUUAAAGUUGACGAUUUUAAUAUUAUAGUAGUUUUAUUGUAUAAGUUCAAGAAGGACUUUGGUCUUGCUUUUUUGUAAAUUUGAUUUCGAAUAUAAGUGUGUAAACAUACUCUUAAAGAUAACUAAACAUACUCUUAAAGAUAACUAAAUAUAUCAUAUGAAAUAAAAAUGAGUUUAUGCUCCAAACCAAGUUUAAAACACCAAAAUAAAAUCCAAACAUGUUGAUAUCGAUGUUAUUAAUAGUCUAAUGCAAAAGAAGCAAAUCGUAGACAGAAAAUGAUAACUAAAAGCAUUCACCAAAGCCCACCAUGGCAAAAGUUGUGAUUAGUAUAUAAUGUUGGAGCAUGUUGUGCUUAUUAGAAAUCGAAAGCUCCACCUUUGGUUUCUUUGAUGACAAUAUAUAAGAGUGCCGUUGAGGUAGGUGACGUUGUAGUAGAAAUUCAUGUCGGGGACAACACAUCGUGGUAGCACCUACUGAUGGGGUGACAACACAUCUUUAGCAGGACAAUUAAAGAAUAGUCGAUGAAGAAAAAUUGAAUAAAAAGCAAAAAAUAAUAUAUAUAUAUAUAUAUAUAUAUAUAUAUAUAUAUAUAUAUAUAUAUAUAUAUAUAUAUAUAUAUAUAUAUAUAUAUAUAUACCUUUCUAAUUAAAUAUUUUAAUAAUAUAAUAAAAUAAAAUAGUAAAUUAUAAAUUUAAAAAUACUAAAAUAAGUAAAUCUAAUAAUAUAUUACUAUGGGAUGAUAAUUUACUGAUGUUAUAGUAAUGAUAAACCAUUUUUAUCUUAAAUUUAAUAUUAUUAGAAAAUAAUAAAAACAUGUUAAACAAUAAUAAAUAUAAAAUAAUCUAAAUGAUUAAUUGUUGUUAUUAUGAAUCAUUUUCAAUGAAAAAUAUGAAUGAUAUCUUUUAUCUUCUUAGCUUUAAUGGUAGUUUUAUGUAGUUUUAGAAUAACCUAACUUUUAACCCUCUUACAAUUGAAAAAUAGUAAUAUAUAGAGGAAAUGAGGCUUAACUUGGGAACAAUAUAUAUUUAAAUACAAUAAAGUAUAAUCAGCAUUUGUGGUAUAAAUCUAGUCGGAAUCAUGUCUGUUUUCGUCAUGCAGGGGCAUAACAUUAGGCCUUCUAAUAAAAUGGUAAAUAUUAUUUUAUCCGUAUAUAAUACAUUCGUUGUUGGAGGAAGACAUAUUUUUACCAUAAUUUCUUAAAAAAAUAAAUCACUCAAUAAAGUGUUUCCUCCCAAGUCGUAAGAAAAUAAUCAAGCUAUAGAUGCGCUACGAAAUUAAUGUUUUGUAAAAUGAAAUAUAUAAAUAGGAAGAACUUGUAAAAAAAAAAAAUAGAGAUAAACAAUGAAGAAAAUAACCAUUAGUUAAAAUUCGUGAAAUGAGAAUAUCUGAGUAUAAAAUUACAACUAAUCUGAAGGAAUCUGCUAAACAACCUAAUCUUCUAUCAUUUUCAUUUGAUAUUUAAAUUAUUGACUGCUGAAACAAAACUCAUAAAAGAUAAAAUCUGCAACAACAAUAGAACUCUAUCUAAAACUUAUUCAAAAUUCAAAUAAGGCAGGUCUCAUAUCUUUAGCUAGACAAGAAGAUAUACUAUGAGGGCACUACUGACCCCGACCCUAUCACGUGCAUGCAUAUGAACUAUUAUCUACAAGUUGUCCCCACUGCCCAAGAACGAGAGCAAGUGCCAAAUGGCUCCAGCCCCAAACCACAGCGAGCAACACAAAACCAGUCCCCCAUGCCACUAGCUGUAUAUAUGCAGAUUACAAAAAGAGACGUGCACCACAUACAGAACAAAUUGAUGAAAAGUAUAAUAUAGUAUAUUUAUGAAUCACGAUUAAAAUAAAUUUCUAACAAUUACUUGAUUUUAAAAGCUUUUAUAGUUUUAAUUUCCAAAGGUUAUUAGUUUUAUUAAUAGUUUUUUAUACUCGUAUUAUAUUACAAAUAUAAUAAUGACUAAAUUAAGGUUAAUAUAUAUACCUCCUGAAUAUAUUUUGUAAAAAUACACAAACUUUCUCUAUUUUUUUAUUAUAAAAAAAUAAGGUUGCCAAGCCAUUGUUCAAAUCAAAGGGCGAUCCAAUAGUAGGUGAGAACUAAAAUAAAUUUUUAUUUUUUUUAUUUUAAAUGAAGAAUAAUACGUCGUAUUUUUUAAAUAAAUAUGGUCUUUUUAUUUUAUAAUAGCUAAUAAAAAAUUUAUAGAACUAAAUUUUACUUGUUUUAUUGUUGUUUUCACUCUCAUUCAAAGGAGUAAAAGAAUGAACUUGUCCCCGAUCCGAUAACCACACCCCACGCAGCGUAGUAAAUUUUCUUCAUCAAAAUUAUCUAUGUAAAACUCCAGCAGCAACUGGAAAAAGAUUUCGAUUUCUUUAGUUUCAGUACACCAAAGCACUCUCCAUGCGUGAAGUGAAACUAGAUGGUAUAUUCUGAAAGUGAUCCCGUGGAGAAUUUGGAAGAACAGAGAGGGUAUUCAGACAAAUUAUAGAAGCCACCGAUGAAUCAAUGAGUAGAAUAUGCUUCUUCUUUGAAGAUUAACUAUCCCCACCACGCCUGAAGGACUUAAAAGCUUCUAAAAUAAAUUUAAGAAUGAAUUUUUUUUAUUUAUUUAUAAAACUUAGUGUUCUUAUUUAUCAUUUAAAAAUGACACAUUUUAUUUUAUAAUAAUUUUUUUAAAGUAUAUUAGUACUAAAAAAUAUUUUAAUUUUUUUUUAAAACCUAAAGCCUUUCCUUGAGCUCCUUAGACCUUAAGCCGGUCCUUAUUAUCCCUGGGUGGGCAACUUGUUAAUGAUGAAUUGAAGACCCUUCAAACCUGUGUGCUACCUUAAGUAGGAGUGGAAUAUCAAUUGUUUCCACACUAGGGACAAAACUUCAUCAAACUCAUGAACUUACUCAGUCCCUUCCAGCGUGGAAUUCGCAACAACGACCCUCAGUCAUCUUCCUCUAUAUAUUACUACUCAGCUCUUAUACAUAGACCCACACAGUUAUACAACUCUAGAGAAUCAAGAAAAUUAUUUUAUAUAAAAAUAAUAUAUAUAUAUAUAUAUAUAUAUAUAUAUAUAUAUAUAUAUAUAUAUAUAUAUAUAUAUAUAUAACAUAUAAAUUAAAUAUUUUAACAAUAUAAUAAAGUAAAAUAGUAAAUUAUAAACUAUAAAAUACUUCAACAAUUAAGUUUAAUAAUACAUUAUUAGUGAAUAAUAACCUAUUGAUCUUAUAAUAAUGAUAAAUUAUGCUCAUCUCAAAUUUGUUGUUAUCAGAAAAUAAAACAUAUUUACUCAAAUUUGUUGUUAUUAGAAAACAAAACAUAUGUUAAAUAGUAAAUAUACAUAAAAUAAUCCAAAUAACUUACUGAUGUUGUUAUGAAUCAUUAUGAAUGAAAAAUGUGAAUGUUAUCUUUUAUCUUCUUAGCUUUAAUGAUAGUUUUAUGUAGUUUUAUAGUAACCUAACUUUUAACAUUCUUGCAAUUGAGAAAUAAUAAUGUAUAGAGGAAAUGAGGCUUAACUUGCGAACAAUAUAUAUUUAAAUACAAUAAAGUAUAAUCAGCAUUUGUGGUAUAAAUCUAGUUGGAAUCGCUUCUGUUUUCGUCAUGCAGUGGCAUACCUUUGGGCCUUCUAAUAAAAUGGUAAAUAUUAUUUUAUCCGUAUAUAAUACAUUCGUUGUUGGAGGAAGACAUAUUUUUACCAUAAUUUCUUAAAAACAAUAAAUCACUCAAUAAAGUGUUUCCUCCCAAGUCGCAAGAAUCAAGCUCUAGAUGCGCUAGGAAAUGUUUUGUAAAAUGAAAUAUAUAAAUAGGAAGAACUUGUAAAAAAAUAGAGAUAAACAAUGAAGAAAAUAGCCAUUAAAAUUCAUAAAAUGAGAAUAUCUAAGUAUAAGAUUACAACGAAUCUGGAUGAAUCUGCUAACAACCUAAUCUUCUAUCAUUUUCAUUUGAUAUUUAAAAUAAUUAACUGCUAAAACAAAACUCAUAAAAGAUAAAAUCUGCAACAAUAAUUGAACUCUAUCUAAAACUUAUUCUAAAUUCAAAAUUCAAGUAAGGCAAGUCUCAUAUCUUUAGCGAGAGAAAAGAAAAUACUAUCACGCCAAUACUGACCCCGACCCUAUCAGAUGCAUGAACUUUUAUGGAAAGUUGUCCCCACUCCCCAAACCCAAAACCGCAGCCAGCAACACAAAACCAGUCCCCCAUGCAAUAGCUGUAUAUAUGCAGAUUACAAAAUUAAAAGAGACACCACAGAACAAAUGAAUGAAAAGUAUAAUAGUAUAUUUAUGAACGAAGAUGAAAAUAAAUUUCUAACAAUUAAUUAAUUUUAAAAGCUUUCAUAGUUUUAAUUUGCAAAUGCUAUUAGUUUUAUUAAUAGUAUAUAGAUACUUGUAUUAUAUUACAAAUAUAAUAAUGAAAAAAUUAAGGUUAAUAUGCCUCCUAGAAUAUAUUUUGUAAAAAUACACAAACUUUCCAAAUUUUAUUUUUUAUUUUAAAUGAAAAAUAGUAUGUCGUAUUUUUUAAAUAAAUAUGAUUUUUUUAUUUUAUAAUAGCUAAUAAAAAAAAUUUGGAGAACUAAAAUUUAAAUUUUAGUUAUUUUAUUGUUGUUUUCACUCUCAUUUAAAGGAGUAAAAGAAUGAACUUGUCCCCGAUAACCACGCUACACAGCCUAGUAAAUUUUCUACACCAAAAUGAUCUAUGUAAAACUCCAGCAGCAGCUGGAAAAUACUCCGAUUCCUCUAGUUCCAGGUACACCAAAACACUCUCCAUGCGUGAAGUGAAACUAGAUGGUAUUUGCUGAAAGUGAUCCCGUGGAGAAUUUGGCAGAACAGAGAGGGUAUUCAGACAAAUUAUAGAAACCACCGAUGAAUCAGUGAGUAGAAUAUGCUUCUUCCUUGAAGAUUAACUAUCCCUAGUGGGCAACUUGUUAAUGAUGAAUUGAAGACCCUUCAAACCGUGUGUGCUACCUUAGGUAGGCGUGGAAUAUCAAUUAUUUCCACACUAGGAACAAAACUUCAUUAAACUAAUGAACUUACUCAGUCCCUUCUAGCGUGGAAUUCGCAACAACGACCCUCAGUCAUCUUCCUCUAUAUAUUACUCCUCAGCUCUUAUAUUUAGACGCACACAGUUAUACAGCUCAAGAGAAUUAUCAUACCCUUUAAGAUGAAACCGUACCUACGUCCAAUAUUCCUAUUAUUCCUUAUCCUUCUCGACCAAUCCACUU
This 27691-nucleotide long non-coding RNA is filed under the name Glycine max (soybean). RNAcentral describes it as "long non-coding RNA (GMAX_LNC000266)". Lineage: Eukaryota; Viridiplantae; Streptophyta; Magnoliopsida; Fabales; Fabaceae. The record is from RNAcentral.